RNAcentral lists this long non-coding RNA (3550 nucleotides) under Lynx pardinus (Iberian lynx). The record is from RNAcentral. Lineage: Eukaryota; Metazoa; Chordata; Mammalia; Carnivora; Felidae.
GCUCAGAUGGGUGAGCUGUGGCCAUAAACACCUGAGAUCUACGUCCAACACCAGCAUGCUACAGCUGUGGGACUUCUGGUUCAAAACCUUCCGAGCACCUAUUUCCUCAUCUGUAAAAUAAGAUUAGGAUGACUACCCAUACCUUUUUUUUUUUUUUUUCCUGUAAUUUAGUUUUCAGAGAGAACUUUUCGGGUGAGUGUUUACUUAAUAAUACCUCCUUGGACGCCUGGGUGGCUCGAUCGCCAAGCAUCUGACUUUGGCUCAGGUCGUGGUCUCACGGUUCAUGAGUGCUAGCCCUGGAUCAGGUGAGCUCGAGCCCCGCUUCCUUCUUCCUCUCUCUCUCUCUCCCUCUCCCCUUCUGCCCCUCCUGGGAUUCUCUCUCCCUCCCUCUGCCCCUGGCUCAUUUGCACCCUUUCUUUCUCUCAAAAAAACCAAAACCCAAAGCAAAAACCGUCUUAACACAUCUUAUCCUGUUGAGUAGAGGAGUAUCAUGACCGUUUUCGUAUGUUUCUGUUUGUUUGCCGAUUGUAAAAGUAACACAGGCCCACAAUCCUGUCUUAGAACCUAAGGGCCAGAGGCAUUUUGCACGUCAGGCUUUUUUUUUUUUCAUAGUUUAGAAGUGUUUUAUUUAUGCUGAAUAUCAAAUCAACAGUUUAAUACUUCUGAGAAAUGUAUGAAUAUUUACAUCACCUGAGAUCGUUAAAAGCCCUCAUAUACAUUCAGAGGAGUCCAGAUUUGCCAUCAAAUAAACUGUGGAUUUUGCAAUUGUGGCUGAGGGAUUAUAAACAGGACUUUGCACAUGUUUUAGUAGAAAACUUAGGAAAACACAGUGUGGUACCAAAAAGAAAAUAAUGAUAUUAACAAGAGAUAACUGCUAAAAUUUCCAUGUGUCUCUCCUAAUUCAUUGAAUUAUUCAGCAAUGUUUUCAAACACCUAUUAGAUGUUCCAGGCGAGCGGUUCUUGAUCAGGGGCAAUUUUGUCACCCAAGGGACAUUUGGCAAUACCUGGAGACAUUUUGGUUGUCAUAACUGGGUGGGGAGAGGGGAACCCCCAGCACCUAGUGAGUAGAGGUCAGGGAUGCUGCAAAACAUUCUGUAAUUCACAGGACAACCCCCACGACAGAGAAUGAUCCAGCCCCCGUGUCAGUAGGGCCAUGACUGGGAAACCUUGGUCUGGGUUCUGGGCAUAUAGCAAUAAGCAAAACAAUAAAAAAUUAAUCUGUUUAGUAAGGAUUUGUUAAAUAUAUGUAAUAUAUAUACACACAGACAGAUAUAUGUGUUUUUAAAAUGUGGUAUUAUUCACUGUAUAGUUUGUUACUUAACAUUGCUUCACAAACAUUUUACAAUAUUAUCAAAAGUUCUUCAAACACAUGAUUUUUAGGCCCAGAAUACAUUCCUUCAGAAAGACAUACAAUUUUGGGGCGCCUGGGUGGUGCAGUCGGUUAAGCGUCCGACUUCAGCCAGGUCACGAUCUCGCGGUCUGUGAGUUCGAGCCCCGCGUCGGGCUCUGGGCUGAUGGCUCAGAGCCUGGAGCCUGUUUCCGAUUCUGUGUCUCCCUCUCUCUCUGCCCCUCCCCCGUUCAUGCUCUGUCUCUCUCUGUCCCAAAAAUAAAUAAACGUUGAAAAAAAAAAUUAAAAAAAAAAAAGUUUUAAAAAAGAAAGACAUACAAUUUUUAGCCAUGGCUUUAUAUUAAAGUGGAUUCUUCCCUUUUUUUUUUCUGUUAUUUAAAACAAUACCAUGAUGAAUAUCCUUACCUCUGCAUCUCUGACUAUUCCAGUAGAUGCUAAGGCUUGAGGUUCAUUCUAGGGGUGGGGAGACUGAAUCAAAGGGUAUACGCUUUUAAAUCAUCCUCGAUGUACCUGAUGAAAGUGCUUUGCAGAAAAGUUGUCCCCAUUUUACUUGGUGUAAGAGUUUACAUUUAAAAAUCGGGAGUCUUAUGGUAUUAAAUAACAAACAGAGCUGGUUUGAGCUCACAAUAACACUUCUAGAAAAUUCUGAUAACUGGAAGAGGCCUUCAGAAGGAGGAGCAUACAAUAUGUUGGGCUCAAAUUCUACUCACCAUUUGAAACUGAAUGGAUGGGGUAUAUUUCCUCUCAAUCAGUCCCAUGGUACUCAUUGCAUUUUAAUCCUCCCAGAAUGCAAACAGAUUGGAUGCAGUUCAAAGACUGGGCAGCAAAACAUAAUUAAGAAGUGACUGACUUUUGGGAAAAGACGAAAAGAGCUCCAAGUCCGAAAGUCAUGUUGCAGAAACCCCUGGAAGGAGGUGAUCACCAUUUCCAAGCAUGGAAAUUCAGGAAAUAAAAGACAAGGAGAGGAACUUCUGGGAGAGGGGCAGGAGUUCAAAAGGUAAUGGGAUCUACUUGAACAAUGAGAAUUCCAGAGUGAAAUCUCAAGAGGAAACUUCCCCGUGGUUCUUUAUAAGAAUAAUCUGUCAAGGAAAUGAUAGAAUUCCUUUAAAAGAGUAAGUGGGUAAGCCAGUAAGGGAGCGCAGGUCAAUUAGAUAAUGGGAUUUUUUUUUCUCCAGAGGGAGUUGCAUGAGAACCUACUAGAAUGGGUAAGAUUGGCCCUUCCCCAGGAGGUGAACGAGUAUACACAGUGUCUGUGAUAAAUCACAGUUGAAUGGACGUGAUUUGAAGGGAAGAGAAUGCACAUUUCUUCUGAGGCUAAACACCAGCACCACCAAAAAGCCCAUCAUUUAGAGUGGGGGUCGGCCAACCUUUUCCGUGAGAAGCAUGGAUCAUAAAUGUUCUCUGCCGUGUGGUCCUCCCGGCUCUGUGUCACCUGCUCUACUCUGCCUUUGUUGACUGAAAGCAGUCAUAGAUGAUAUGUAAAUCAUACGCGUGGCUGUGUUUCAAUAAAACUUUAUUGACAAAGACAGUGCUCAGGAAGCUUGGUUUGCUGACCCCUGAUCUAGAGGUGGUGUAAAAAAAACAAAACAAAACAAAAUGAGGAGGUUCUGGAGAUGUGGGCUCAAAGGCCGUUUCUACGCCCGCCGGGCAGUGUAACCCCAGGCAAGCAAAUUGACUUUUUGAAUAUCACUCUUACCGACUCCCAAAAGGGGGUAACUGGAGGGUCUACCUUACGAAUUUGUUCUCAGAAUCAAAUAGAACCAUGCCUGUAUCAUGUUUAGCACAGGCCUGAGCACAUAGCAGCGGUAAGAACAGGGGGAGAGAAAAGAAGGCAGGUUUUCCUGAGGUUCUUCUCCCAUGGUAUCUGGGUUUGUGUCAAUGUUUCCUCCAAAAGCACAAGUUCCCGAAGUUCGUCCUGUUUCAUACGCGUCCCAGUGUCUAUGCCUCGGCGCGUAGCGACCGUCCUGUCUGGCAGGGCCUCUAAGAGCGGGAGGAGGGAUGAGGACUGGGUGCCCAUGGGUGAGCCAGGGAAAGCAGCCAGGAGACGGGGAGUGAGGGAAGCAGAACAGGGCAGGGAAGAAACUAAGUGCAGAUUCAGCCUGACCGCACGGCGUUGGCCUCACCCGCAGGCAGAGGGGGCUGGCCUUUCACCCUGGGACAGUCGGUCACUGGCCGUGGGCUGACCACAUCAAGGGCGAGGAG